RNAcentral lists this ribosomal RNA (857 nucleotides) under Salmonella enterica. RNAcentral's name for it is "bacterial LSU rRNA". It matches the Rfam family "Bacterial large subunit ribosomal RNA", at positions 2086 to 2925 of the family's 2925-position model. Lineage: Bacteria; Pseudomonadati; Pseudomonadota; Gammaproteobacteria; Enterobacterales; Enterobacteriaceae. The record is from RNAcentral.
AGACCCCGUGAACCUUUACUAUAGCUUGACACUGAACAUUGAGCCUUGAUGUGUAGGAUAGGUGGGAGGCUUUGAAGUGUGGACGCCAGUCUGCGUGGAGCCGACCUUGAAAUACCACCCUUUAAUGUUUGAUGUUCUAACGUGGACCCGUGAUCCGGGUUGCGGACAGUGUCUGGUGGGUAGUUUGACUGGGGCGGUCUCCUCCUAAAGAGUAACGGAGGAGCACGAAGGUUGGCUAAUCCUGGUCGGACAUCAGGAGGUUAGUGCAAUGGCAUAAGCCAGCUUGACUGCGAGCGUGACGGCGCGAGCAGGUGCGAAAGCAGGUCAUAGUGAUCCGGUGGUUCUGAAUGGAAGGGCCAUCGCUCAACGGAUAAAAGGUACUCCGGGGAUAACAGGCUGAUACCGCCCAAGAGUUCAUAUCGACGGCGGUGUUUGGCACCUCGAUGUCGGCUCAUCACAUCCUGGGGCUGAAGUAGGUCCCAAGGGUAUGGCUGUUCGCCAUUUAAAGUGGUACGCGAGCUGGGUUUAGAACGUCGUGAGACAGUUCGGUCCCUAUCUGCCGUGGGCGCUGGAGAACUGAGGGGGGCUGCUCCUAGUACGAGAGGACCGGAGUGGACGCAUCACUGGUGUUCGGGUUGUCAUGCCAAUGGCACUGCCCGGUAGCUAAAUGCGGAAGAGAUAAGUGCUGAAAGCAUCUAAGCACGAAACUUGCCCCGAGAUGAGUUCUCCCUGAGACUUAAAGUCUCCUGAAGGAACGUUGAAGACGACGACGUUGAUAGGCCGGGUGUGUAAGCGCAGCGAUGCGUUGAGCUAACCGGUACUAAUGAACCGUGAGGCUUAACCUUACAACGCCGAAG